Molecule: long non-coding RNA, 2813 nt
Organism: Papaver somniferum (opium poppy)
Lineage: Eukaryota; Viridiplantae; Streptophyta; Magnoliopsida; Ranunculales; Papaveraceae
Exons: 8
Source: RefSeq, a predicted model, not a curated record
AAUGAUCUGAGAAAUUGAGAGAGAAAAGGAGAGAAAGAGAGCCAGAGAGAAGAAGAAGUAUAAACCAGAGAGAUUAAGAGUAAUCUGAGCGUAAUAAUUGCAUCAUUAUCAUCUCCUCCUCCUCUGCUUAGGGAUUUAGUAGAAAUGAAAUGGAAUCAGUCUAAGAAAAAGUAGUUAUUGUGGGAGCAAAUCAUAAAAUUGAUCCUUGUACUCCCUCCAUCAUCAUCGUAGACUUCUCAAGGGGAGGAUUCAAGUACUUGAAAGAGUUGUUCAUAAAUCUCAAUCCAUCAUCACCACCACAAUUGCUUAUUGCUACUCCUCAAUCCAUCACCACCACAAUCACCAUCGUCUCUUCUUUAUGUUUUUGGUUCUUAUCAAAUUUUGUGUGUAUAGAUGUUGUUAUGAUGAUACUACUCCUUUAUACUGUUCUUGUGGAUGCUCAAUUUUACAUUUUAAUUCAGUAGUGUUGCUUAAUUUUUAACAUAAUCUUACUGAUACACAGCACGCCCUUUCAUCCUCUGCAUAUAUCCUUCACCAUGUUGGCAGACCAAGUAUUGCAAAUGAUUGUAUUGGCCUUAUAGAAUGAGGAUGAUAUGGACCCUUCUUCCCUCUCUUUAUUAAUUGUUGAUGAGGAUCAAAAGGGUGCAUGAGAACAUGACUAGUGAAAUUUAAACCACUGGUGAUGGUCAGAAGCAGCAACAACACCUGCACAAAAACAAGAGGGAAAGAGGAGGCGUAUAAGUACUACUUAUGUGUUGGGGAAGGAGGAGAAGAGCCAACAAAGAAAAGGAAGAUGUUGCAGCAAUAGAUUUGAUGACGUCCAACACCAAUCCCAACAGACUAACUCUGAUUUUGGUGUCUCGUUCAAUAAAAUUGAGCCUGAUGGCGUAUCAACUGUGCGUCCGCUGAAUCUGCAUUGAAUAUAAGUCGUCGUACUGAAGACCUCAUAUCUUUUGCUUUUCAUGGAAAUCAUGAGGCCAACAAAGAGAAAAGCAUGAGACCUCCAAUUAUUGAUUAUGCGGCGUGAGCAUAAGUGUGCUGAUAUCAAUUUUUUUGAAGCAGCGGAUUUGUUGAAAUGAAUUACCAACAUUCAUCCAGUAGAUCAAAGGCCUAAACUAGAAAUUGAAGUAGGCAUGUUUUGCAGGAACUGGUUGACUCACCACCGAGAUCCACCCAUUCAGUAUUUGGAUACUAGUUGUGACAGAGAUAUGGAGAACAUUUAUGAUUCGGAAGUUUAUAUAUAAGCUCAGAAUCUGGUUAAGACAUUCGAUAAGAACACACCUGUAGGACUCAAAAACCCCACAUGGACUUGAUGCCGAUGGAGGUGUUCACCUAUGAGAUAACCUGGAUGCUGGUUGCCAAGGUGAGGCUUCCCUUCUUUAUGUCGUGGUCUUUUUUUUCGUAUUUGAGUCAUGCAUGUAUCCUUUACUCGAUAAGUUUUGCUCCUUUUUUUUCCCAUUCUGCUGAGUACGUUUUGGUUUACCUUGGACUUCACCUACAACAUAUGCUGCAUAAGAAAAUGAGGCCAUGGAUUUCAAAUUUUCAAGAAACUCAACAGAUGAAAAAGCCAGAUGAUCACCCUAUUUCUCAAAAUCUUGGUCUAUGAAAAAUCAUGGUUCUGCAUUAUCAAUUCAUAAAAGGAUUAUGUCCUUCCGAUUGGUCAGCGAGGUUGAAUCUGAAAGAUUAUUCGGAAACAUGUGGGCUAUGCUUGUCUACGAGAUCAAGAAGCUCGAGGAAGUCGAUGGGGUAAAUCCUUUGGGGGUUGACAUAAACCAAAGACACACCUAAAACCAAAGAGGAGGUGCUCUCGCUUGACAUAAAUUGGGCUGUGUUCGACCAGCAUGGUUGCAUGAGACAAUGAGACCGUGGAUAAUUAAAAAAGUUAUGAAGCUUCUUGAGAAGGAAAUACCAGUGUGGUUGGUCAGGUCGUCGACAGCAUCAAAAAACAAAACCGUCCAUCCCAAAUGCUGGAGCUGCUUGAACUCUCAAUUCUAUGCUGAAACGAUUGUCUGAAUCUAUGGAGGAUGCUCAUAGUAAAAAUAUUUGAGACAGCAUUUCUUAUAUCCAUAUCUAGUGCUAAUCCAAGCACUGAGUUGUCUAGCGUGGAAGGUAUGCCCACUGAAUACAACUUGCAUCAGGAAGAUUCAGUCUGGAACGGAGAGGACAGCAGUGAUCGUGAUGCUUCGUUAAGCGAACUUGUUAGGGAGUGUGAUUCCGUGGAAUAUAGAGAAGUUGCCUUCUUAAGAGGUUGAUUGGGCUCCAACAAGAUGCUCUCUUGGCUUCGAUUAGCCCCGAACUUGUGUCCAUUUGACCAAGUUCUGUUGAAUUUCAUUAUGUUUCGGCCGUAAAGUUGAUUUCAAUGCUUCAGCUUGCAACUCUGCUCUAAUGCAGAUGGGAAUUCAUCUCUGGCGUAGAUGUGGAGUGAUUAUUGAAUGUGCGGUUGUCCUCUUUCUAUUCUCACUGACAAGUAUCGACCUGUUUGCAUAAAACCGAUUCAAUGGCGAACUAGGCAACAGAUAUCCGGUUCAACUAGCUGCUUGACUAGCCUAGAGAGAGUCAGCACGAGCUAAACUAUUCCGUGCCACAGCAUUGCCAGCAAUUUUAGCUUGGACUUGUAGAAGAAAAGGAUUGAUCCGUUGUUUUGAAGCCAACCACAAUUAUAAGACGGAACAAUACCAAUAGUAUAAUAAUCCACUUUAGACCAAAAAAAAUAAUCUGAGGCAGAUGUAAAGCCUAACUUACUCCGGCUUAAUCUCAGAUAUAUAGAAAGCUUUGAUUCGAUAUACAUUUUUCUUACUAAUUAUUUUAAGCUU